AUGAUUGAGGGUUUAGAAGAAGCCAAACUAAUUAUGAUUAUCAUGUUUUUUCCCUGAUAACGUUAUAAUAUUUUGUUUCCGUAAGUUAUGUUUAAUUAUUGUCCUUACUUAUCUUGUUUGUGUUGUCAUGAUGGACAAACUUAUUAAUAAUUGGGGUUGGUGUUUAAAUUGUAUUUUUUAUCUUAUAAUAAUAUAAACUAAAAACCACGUACAUUAUUUAGAAAUUAACGUGAUUGGUACACUGUCUGAUUGAAGACAAGGUUACCAGGUUACUUAGACUAUCCGGCCUGGUCGUCACCACGGAGCCACGCGUGAGUCCUACGCCCCCUAGGUGUGGUUCACAGCUGUGAGACUUUGGCGCGGACCUGGUUACCAUUGAGUCACGCGUGACAAACCGUACCCCCUAGGCGUGGCUCACAACCGUGAGACUUCGGCGUGGACUUGCUCUGCUUUCCGGUCUCCCCCUUUCCCAUUUCCAGAGUAACGUUCAAUAAUAAUAAUAGUAAAGUUUGUAUAAAACUUACCCAUGUGAGUAGUGGAAACUAUUUCCCCCAAUCAAAUGACUCGAAGCUGUUAGUUGUGAUGGGAAAUGAAAACCGAUAAGACGCUGAUAUGGCAAUAAAACCCAUGUGAUACGUGAGAACCACGCCCCUAUAGGCUAUAUAGCCUUACAAUCAGUAGCGGACUGACUGACGUUCUCACACUGGUAAAAGCUUCAAGUGAUACGUGUUACAUAUAGACUAGCUACAAAGUUAUAUGUGUUAUCAUCACUUAUCAAUGUAUACUAUAUUGCUCAACUUUUUGCUGGCUUUUGUUGAUAUAUAAAAGGUAGUGUGUCAAAGCUUCAAGUGGUUAGCAGUUAGCACCAAUGUUUUGACCAUAACAACACUCGGUCAGAUCACAACCUCUGAGCAAGUAAAGUUGUCGGUUUAACGACAUGUCUGGUUUUCAAAAUACUGGUUAGCACCAGUGGCGAAACUUGACAAUGAAGUCAGGGGUCGAAAACGUAUAUACCCAAAAUUUUCUAUAGAACCGGGGAUCGAAAACGUAUAUGCCCAAAAAUUUAUAUACGAAAACUACAUAUAUAACACUACUG
Molecule: long non-coding RNA, 1096 nt
Filed under: Helianthus annuus (common sunflower)
Lineage: Eukaryota; Viridiplantae; Streptophyta; Magnoliopsida; Asterales; Asteraceae
Description: sRNA HanXRQr2_Chr16g0767201
Source: RNAcentral